This 93-nucleotide microRNA precursor is filed under the name Guillardia theta CCMP2712. RNAcentral's name for it is "microRNA mir-598". Lineage: Eukaryota; Cryptophyceae; Pyrenomonadales; Geminigeraceae. The record is from RNAcentral.
UGGAGAUGAUGAUGAUGAUCACGAUGAUGAUGAUGAUGAGGAUGGAGAUGACGAUUACGAUGAUCAUGAUCAUGAUCAUGAUCAUGACGACGA